UUACGGGUAGCCAAAAGAGUCAAAUGCAAGUUCCCUGAGAUAAUAUGCUUAAAAUAUGAUAUUAUAUCAGUAAGUUAUGUUCUAUAUUGCCCGGAAUAAUUUUAAACCCAAUUUAUGCCUUAGAAGGGCAUUUUGGUCAUUUAAAAGAUAAUAAAAGAGUCAAAUUAGAAAUCUGAGUUUCGGGUCUGGUUCAUACAGUAAAUAUACUUAAUAUAAUAUAUUAUAUCAGUAGGGUAUGACCCAUAUAUCAAAUUUAUCAUUUAAAAUCAAACUAUGCACCGUAGGGGUAUUUUAGUAAUUUCACAAGGGCUAAAACUGCCAAAACUGGAAACCUGAGUUCAAAAUAUUAUACUUACUGUUAUUAUAUGAAAAUAUGUAAUUUACAUCAGUAGGUAUAAGUCUUAUAGGUUUAAAACAAGUAUAACGCUUACUAUGCGCUUAAAACGCUAAAUAUGCGAUUUAGAGCCGUUUCCGGGUUUAUAUAUGAAAGCUGAGAUUUUUAUAUUUCCAGAAGGCUCAAAAUAAUUUAUUUAACAUAUAAAAUCAGUAGGAAAAUGUUUCGGGUUUCGGGUCAAAAGGAUGUGUAAAACUCAUUUUAUGGCUUAAACGGUCAAAACCGACAUAACCCGAAAUAACUAGGCGAUCUAGGAUCCGUUCAGCCAAAAAUUAAUUAAAAAUCAUCAAAAUUC
RNAcentral lists this long non-coding RNA (689 nucleotides) under Helianthus annuus (common sunflower). The record is from RNAcentral. Lineage: Eukaryota; Viridiplantae; Streptophyta; Magnoliopsida; Asterales; Asteraceae.